Long non-coding RNA from Thunnus maccoyii (southern bluefin tuna), 1754 nucleotides. RefSeq lists it as uncharacterized. The record is from RefSeq and is a predicted model, not a curated record. The transcript has 4 exons. Lineage: Eukaryota; Metazoa; Chordata; Actinopteri; Scombriformes; Scombridae.
UUUCUUGGAUUGACGAUGAGAUGGAACUAUCACAUGAUAAGGGUGUGACGAAUCAGGAAGCGAACACGGUUGUCUGCAUCAACAUUUUAAAAAGUCUCUUUUUCCACCCGUCCAGACUAAAACACAAUCCUGGAGUUUUCAAACUAAAACAGGGUCAGCAGUGUUUUCAAAAGUCUGCGGUUUAGGUGUUCGAAAACGACAGAGUAGAGUGGACGCUAGGCAUAAGCGUAGCAAAAGUUAUGCAUUUUAAAACAAAAAUGUACUAGUGUGGAUGUAGCCAAAGACUUAAAGGACAAAGGGAGAAAAUAGAUCAUCUUGUCUUUUAUUGUGCAUACAGACUAAUGUUCAAUGUUACCAUAACAGAUGAGUGGUAUAAAUUGGAUAAUGAAGUUAGUUGAGUGCAUCACUGUCCAAAGUGUGUGUCCAUGAUAACAUAUAUUUAAAUUAUGCAUAUCGAAAUAAUUACCAAUAAAUCUAAAAAUGCAUACCAUAAUACUAAAUAAAUACAUCGACCAUCUACCCUGGAAUGUAUUCAUGAUGAACAAGUGUGCGUUAUUAAUGUGUAUCUGGCCAUGACGUUAAAUCUAGCGUUAGCUAUAUUAAGCUAAUUAAGAAUACUGCUAUAUAGCUAUGAUAUACUGUAUGUGAGGUAACGUUGGAUAAUUCAUUUUAACAGUAAAGUUAGGUAACGUUAGCUUGAGCGUUGAUUACAAUGGCUUUGUUGCCUUGCUAAUAUUAGCCAUUUAGCGUUAUUCUUGGUAACAUUACUUACAGAAGGUCUUGGUUGCAGAUGGUGACGUUAGCAUAGUCGCUUUUUAAUUGUUUUAGUGUCAGAUAUGCUGGGUCAGUAAAACAGAAUUAUGUCGUAUAACAUUUUCAGAGCUUGUUCUAUUAACUGUUAACCCAAGACAAAUGUCAACGUUAUCGACACUUGGUCUAAGGUUAACCUACUUACCGGAUGGCUUGACUGGCAAACAAAGGUACAAUAAAAUGAACUGAUUAAGCUAUAGCUGUGUCCUGAUUCAGGGGCCACAUCCUUUAAAGGCUGCAUUUGAAGACUGAAUUCAUCACAGCGGCACGAUGAAAGCUGUUUCAUUUCAAAGGCUCCUUUAAAUGCAGCUUUCUUUUCCCAAAUUUGAAGGAUCCAACAGAUGGAUCCUUCGGGACAGCCAAGUAUCCCAGAAUGCAUUUCAUACCAAGUGGCAGCACUGGUGGAGAUUUUGAGCCAGGCUAAAGCAGCUGUUGUAAUUUUCAAUCUGAGCAAAACUCAGCAAGGAGCAUGCUGCUCAGUUUAUUAAACUGAAGGGAGGAAAUUAUCACCACUUCACCGGGGCCAAAAAUUCAGCUAGCGUAGCUUGGAGUUGGACAAGGUGACUCCCCAGCAAGCAAAAGAAAGGGGGAACAGUUAAAAGAGUACAAAGAUUGCAAGUGUCCAGGGUCAGAAGGGGGCGUGAGUGGGAAACCCACUGCUGCAGCUUGGCUGUGGUUUGUCCUCAGGAUGGAUGAGGUGUUGGGACAGAGGCAUUACUCCACACCCACUGUCCUAAUUGCCUCCAUCUCUGAGGACACACCAGGGCCAAGUGCAUCAGUGGAUGACUAGGAGGAGGAGGAGGAAAGCCAGCCAGAGUCAGAUAAGAGAAAGGGAGACAAAGCGGAUGAGCUUCUUCAGCUCAUGAAGGAAGACAUGAAGUUACAGAAAGAGGAGAGGAGAGGAGAGCGGAGAGAGAAUGGACAGGCUCUAGUUGAAAAAUAAA